CCUACGGGUGGCUGCAGUGGGGAAUAUUGGACAAUGGGGGCAACCCUGAUCCAGCCAUGCCGCGUGUGUGAAGAAGGCCCUCGGGUUGUAAAGCACUUUCAGUGAGGAAGAACGCCUGGUGGUUAAUACCCAUCAGGAAAGACAUCACUCACAGAAGAAGCACCGGCUAACUCCGUGCCAGCAGCCGCGGUAAUACGGAGGGUGCGAGCGUUAAUCGGAAUUACUGGGCGUAAAGCGCGCGUAGGUGGCUUGAUAAGCCGGUUGUGAAAGCCCCGGGCUCAACCUGGGAACGGCAUCCGGAACUGUCAAGCUAGAGUGCAGGAGAGGAAGGUAGAAUUCCCGGUGUAGCGGUGAAAUGCGUAGAGAUCGGGAGGAAUACCAGUGGCGAAGGCGGCCUUCUGGACUGACACUGACACUGAGGUGCGAAAGCGUGGGUAGCACACAGGAUUAGAUACCCGAGUAGUC
RNAcentral lists this ribosomal RNA (465 nucleotides) under Vreelandella stevensii. RNAcentral describes it as "partial 16S ribosomal RNA". It matches the Rfam family "Bacterial small subunit ribosomal RNA", at positions 338 to 795 of the family's 1533-position model. The record is from RNAcentral. Lineage: Bacteria; Pseudomonadati; Pseudomonadota; Gammaproteobacteria; Oceanospirillales; Halomonadaceae.